CAUUYUGGGGGUYGUUUUGGCAUUUGGUUGCUUUCUUGGCAUUGUGCCAGGUGGGUGGUCACUUGCUCGACGGUCUUCGGGAAUGUUAACCGUAAAGGUGCAUGAGUGGUGAUUGGUUUGUUACCGGUGGUUGGCUCUUUGCUUGCGCAACAACUUCCACCUGGCUUACCUCCUCAGUUAUGCGUCAAAGGGUAGUAUCUCCUUGAGCGUAUUGUGGGUUUCCUGUGUUGAAUUCCAAUUUGAUGGUAUUGUUUUGGCUGAUCGAAGUCCCUUUUCGUCUUGUGUUGCCUUUGUGAUUCAAGAUGAACCGUGAAGUGGUCUCUAUGUUCCACUAUGUUGAUGCAAAUGCAUUGAUGUCGUGGCCCAUUGAGCGUUGCUUGGAAUCCUGGAUACGGAACAUUAUGUGGGCAUGGGGUCUUUCAUGGCUCUUGUUUUGUCCUCGUUUAGUGUUCUUUGAAACGACAGUUCAUGCGCGCCUAGGCUCGUACCUGCGCGAUGAUCUUUGUCAAARAGGAAUGC
Molecule: unclassified non-coding RNA, 519 nt
Filed under: Senecio scitus
Lineage: Eukaryota; Viridiplantae; Streptophyta; Magnoliopsida; Asterales; Asteraceae
Description: partial external transcribed spacer
Source: RNAcentral